This 425-nucleotide ribosomal RNA is filed under the name uncultured bacterium. RNAcentral describes it as "bacterial SSU rRNA". It matches the Rfam family "Bacterial small subunit ribosomal RNA", at positions 356 to 773 of the family's 1533-position model. The record is from RNAcentral.
GGGGAAUUUUGGACAAUGGGCGAAAGCCUGAUCCAGCAAUGCCGCGUGAGUGAAGAAGGCCUUCGGGUUGUAAAGCUCUUUUGUCAGGGAAGAAACGGUUUGGGCUAAUACCCUGAGCUAAUGACGGUACCUGAAGAAUAAGCACCGGCUAACUACGUGCCAGCAGCCGCGGUAAUACGUAGGGUGCAAGCGUUAAUCGGAAUUACUGGGCGUAAAGCGUGCGCAGGCGGUUUUGUAAGUCUGACGUGAAAUCCCCGGGCUCAACCUGGGAAUUGCGUUGGAGACUGCAAGGCUAGAAUCUGGCAGAGGGGGGUAGAAUUCCACGUGUAGCAGUGAAAUGCGUAGAGAUGUGGAGGAACACCGAUGGCGAAGGCAGCCCCCUGGGUCAAGAUUGACGCUCAUGCACGAAAGCGUGGGGAGCAAAC